This 1821-nucleotide ribosomal RNA is filed under the name seawater metagenome. RNAcentral's name for it is "bacterial LSU rRNA". It matches the Rfam family "Bacterial large subunit ribosomal RNA", at positions 1119 to 2925 of the family's 2925-position model. The record is from RNAcentral.
UCCUUUAAAGAAAGCGUAAUAGCUCACUAGUCGAAUCGGCCUGCGCGGAAGAUAUAACGGGGCUCAAACUAUACACCGAAGCUACGGACGCAUGCUUGCAUGCGUGGUAGAGGAGCGUUCUGUAGGCCGUUGAAGGGAAAGCUGAGAGGCAUCCUGGAGGUAUCAGAAGUGCGAAUGCUGACAUGAGUAACGAUAAGGGGAGUGAAAAGCUCCCCCGCCGGAAGACCAAGGUUUCCUAUCCAAUGCUAAUCAGGGUAGGGUGAGUCGGCCCCUAAGGCGAGGCUGAAGAGCGUAGUCGAUGGGAAGCAGGUUAAUAUUCCUGCACCACUCAAUAUUGCGAAGGAGGGACGGAGAAGGCUAGUCCAGCGCGGCGUUGGUUGUCCGCGUUUAAGCGUGUAGGCUUAAAUCUUAGGUAAAUCCGGGAUUUUUUAAGGCUGAGGCGUGAUGACGAGGUCCAUUAGGACUGAAGUGGUUGAUGCCAUGCUUCCAGGAAAAGCUUCUAAGCAUCAGAUAUUGAGUGACCGUACCCCAAACCGACACAGGUGGUCAGGUAGAGAAUACCAAGGCGCUUGAGAGAACUCGGGUGAAGGAACUAGGCAAAAUGGUACCGUAACUUCGGGAGAAGGUACGCCGCUGAUGGUGAUGGGACUUGCUCCCUAAGCUGUUGGCGGCCGAAGAUACCAGGUGGCUGCGACUGUUUAUUAAAAACACAGCACUGUGCAAACACGAAAGUGGACGUAUACGGUGUGACGCCUGCCCGGUGCCGGAAGGUUAAUUGAUGGGGUUAGCUUCGGCGAAGCUCUUGAUCGAAGCCCCGGUAAACGGCGGCCGUAACUAUAACGGUCCUAAGGUAGCGAAAUUCCUUGUCGGGUAAGUUCCGACCUGCACGAAUGGCGUAACGACGGCCACACUGUCUCCACCCGAGACUCAGUGAAAUUGAAAUCGCUGUUAAGAUGCAGUGUAUCCGCGGCUAGACGGAAAGACCCCGUGAACCUUUACUAUAGCUUCACAGUGAACUUUGAACCUAUUUGUGUAGGAUAGGUGGGAGGCUUUGAAACUGGGACGCUAGUCUCAGUGGAGCCAAACUUGAAAUACCACCCUGGUAUGUUUGAGGUUCUAACUCAGGUCCGUAAUCCGGAUCGAGGACACUGUGUGGUGGGUAGUUUGACUGGGGCGGUCUCCUCCCAAAGAGUAACGGAGGAGCACGAAGGUAUGCUAAUCAUGGUCGGAAAUCAUGAGGUUAGUGCAAUGGCAUAAGCAUGCUUAACUGCGAGACAGACACGUCGAGCAGAUACGAAAGUAGGUCAUAGUGAUCCGGUGGUUCUGAAUGGAAGGGCCAUCGCUCAACGGAUAAAAGGUACUCCGGGGAUAACAGGCUGAUACCGCCCAAGAGUUCACAUCGACGGCGGUGUUUGGCACCUCGAUGUCGGCUCAUCACAUCCUGGGGCUGAAGCCGGUCCCAAGGGUAUGGCUGUUCGCCAUUUAAAGUGGUACGCGAGCUGGGUUUAGAACGUCGUGAGACAGUUCGGUCCCUAUCUGCCGUGGACGUUUGAGAUUUGAGAAGAGUUGCUCCUAGUACGAGAGGACCGGAGUGAACGAACCUCUGGUGUUCCGGUUGUCACGCCAGUGGCAUUGCCGGGUAGCUACGUUCGGACAGGAUAACCGCUGAAAGCAUCUAAGCGGGAAGCCCCCUUCAAGAUGAGAUCUCACAGGACUUUAAGUCCCUAAAGAGCCGUUCAAGACUAGGACGUUGAUAGGUUGGGUGUGUAAGCACGGUAACGUGUUGAGCUAACCAAUACUAAUUGCUCGUGAGGCUUGACC